Molecule: non-coding RNA, 403 nt
Organism: Cricetulus griseus (Chinese hamster)
Lineage: Eukaryota; Metazoa; Chordata; Mammalia; Rodentia; Cricetidae
Source: RefSeq, a predicted model, not a curated record
AGAUGUCCCCUGAUUCUCAGAUGUAUCCAUUGAUCCCUGCAUUGUGUCCAGUUGUGUUCUUGUGUGAGAGUGUCCAUUUGCUGUGAAGUUAAUCUUCUUUGCUUGCCUGAAACAAGCUAUCAGAAGACACCAGAGAGUUGGAGUUUCGAGAAAUCCUGAGCAGACAGAGCCAGGGAAGCUGUCCUGAGCAUAGACCUCCCUGGCACGUCCAUUGAUUGCAAGAAUAACAAAACCUUGUGCAGUAGGUGGCCAUCCAGGGCUCGACUCUGAAAAAGUCUGCAAUGGAUGAAAGCAAUUGUUUUUACUGCUGUUUCCGUAAUGUUAUGAUCCCUUUUAUUACUGGUGUAAUACACUCUAUUCUAGCAGGUCUUUAAGGUUGUUAAUAAAAUAUUAAUGCCUUUUA